This 298-nucleotide long non-coding RNA is filed under the name Elaeis guineensis (African oil palm). RNAcentral describes it as "long non-coding RNA (EGUI_LNC041494)". Lineage: Eukaryota; Viridiplantae; Streptophyta; Magnoliopsida; Arecales; Arecaceae. The record is from RNAcentral.
CUAAUUCCUUCUACCGUAGCCUGAGACUUUGUUGUUCAACCCUCAAAAUAUCUGGCCCGUGUAACAUCCCCUCCAAAGCCCUUCGGGUAUUUUUGCAAUCCUCUAUGGUGGUGUUGUUGGGGACUCUGGCCAAGCAUUCCUACUGACUUACCCGAUUAGGAGAGUGGGUUGACAUCUCCCCUCCUUGAGGGGCAGGAAGAACCUCCAGACUAAGGAUGUCAACUUCUGGGGAUGGCACGAAGUGAGCAUCGACUGACGAGGGAGGCACUGAAGGUGCUCCUCUAGCACUUGCCCUGGU